GUGCUUGCUUUGGUAGCACAUAUACUAAAACAAUGCAGAGAUUAACAUGGCCCUUGUACAAGCAUGACAUACAAAUUUUAGUGAAUCAUUCACAUUUUU
Pongo abelii (Sumatran orangutan) is the source of this 99-nucleotide small nuclear RNA. NCBI's taxonomy places the organism in Eukaryota, Metazoa, Chordata, Mammalia, Primates, Hominidae. The record is from Ensembl.